This 484-nucleotide ribosomal RNA is filed under the name uncultured bacterium. RNAcentral's name for it is "partial 16S ribosomal RNA". It matches the Rfam family "Bacterial small subunit ribosomal RNA", at positions 30 to 507 of the family's 1533-position model. The record is from RNAcentral.
AUUGAACGCUGGCGGCAGGCCUAACACAUGCAAGUCGAGCGGAUGAAGGGAGCUUGCUCCUGGAUUCAGCGGCGGACGGGUGAGUAAUGCCUAGGAAUCUGCCUGGUAGUGGGGGAUAACGUCCGGAAACGGGCGCUAAUACCGCAUACGUCCUGAGGGAGAAAGAGGGGGGUCUUCGGACCUCACGCUCUCAGAUGAGCCUAGGUCGGAUUAGCUAGUUGGUGGGGUAAAGGCCUACCAAGCCGACGAUCCGUAAGUGGUCUGAGAGGAUGAUCAGUCACACUGGAACUGAGACACGGACCAGACUCCUACGGGAGGCAGCAGUGGGGAAUAUGGGACAAUGGGCGAAAGCCUGAUCCAGCCAUGCCGCGUGUGUGAAGAAGGUCUUCGGAUUGUAAUGCACUUUAAGUUGGGAGGAAGGGCAGUAAGUUAAUACCUUGCUGUUUUGACGUUACCAACAGAAUAAGCACCGGCUAACUUCGUG